Long non-coding RNA from Alosa sapidissima (American shad), 1161 nucleotides. RefSeq lists it as uncharacterized. The record is from RefSeq and is a predicted model, not a curated record. Lineage: Eukaryota; Metazoa; Chordata; Actinopteri; Clupeiformes; Clupeidae. The transcript has 3 exons.
UAUGUCUCAUAGCAUCCAAUCUGUCACCACCAACACCAUUUCUGCUACACCCCAGCCCUCAUCUUCCCAGACUUUUUUUUCUACCCCUGUGACCUGAUCGCUUGUAGCACAGAUGUACUCUGAACCUUCACGUCCUGAAAUUUGUGUGUGAAUCAGACUUCCAUCAGUGUGGCCCCCACCAACAGACAUCUUGCUGUCAUGUGUCAGGACCCAGCUGCAUCCUCCAUCCAAGCUUUUGGACAUUGACCCCACUACACUACUCCCUUCAUUGCCCUCCCUGUUGCCUCCUCCAUCACCAUUGGCCCAGCCGCCUCCUCCAUCACCACUGGCCCCACCGCCUCCUCCAUCACCACUGGCCCCGCCAUCUCCCCCAUCGCCUUGUACACUGGCCCUGUCGCCUCUAACUCCUUCUCUGUUGGCCCAGCCAUCAGAACUGGCUGUAGACGAACAUAACAUGCCAGGCAUGGACAAGGUAGACAGCCUAGCUGAGUUCCUGGUGGAUCUGCGUCAUGAGCCAUCCUUGACCCUUACCAACCAGCAGGCUGGCAGAACUGUAAGUCUGUGGCAGAACCUGUUGCCAUAUGACCAACAAUGUGUGGCCUUUGCCGCACGGCACCAAGAACGCCCGGCUCAACAAAGGACGGUUCCGUUCUCCUAAAAAGAAAAAGGACUUCACUCCAGGAGUGCCACUUUGCAGCGGAUUGCCUACUCCAGCCUUUCCCUACGCCAGUUCCCUACGCCAGUUGUUUUUACCCUCAACAGCCCUCACCUGGCCCACAGAAACCCACCUCCAAGGCCAAGUUUAAUAAACGAACAGUGGAGGUGAAUUCAUGCCGGACAUGUGGACAGUUACGGACAAAGGCAACUGGCCACAGUCAGUAUAAGGGCACUAUACAGCCCAAAUACAGAGCCUCUGUCAAAAGAGGAGUGGCUGAAAGAAAUGAAGAAAAGUAAAUUGUAAAUGUGUACACUACUUUUUUGAGGUUGUUUGUAAGGUUGUUCUCAUGUUCUGUGUGUGUGUGUGUGCGCGCGCGUCCGUGUGUGAAUGUGUCCGAGUGUGCAAAUAAAUGCAUUUUAAUUGGUUUUCAUUGUAUCUUCUGCAUUGUUUUUUGUCAAGAGGUAUUUAUAUUCUUAUACAGAUUCUGCAUAGUGGUUUAAGUC